This 261-nucleotide ribosomal RNA is filed under the name Frondihabitans sp. ISO206_OTU118361. RNAcentral describes it as "partial 16S ribosomal RNA". It matches the Rfam family "Bacterial small subunit ribosomal RNA", at positions 29 to 289 of the family's 1533-position model. The record is from RNAcentral. Lineage: Bacteria; Bacillati; Actinomycetota; Actinomycetes; Micrococcales; Microbacteriaceae.
ACGAACGCUGGCGGCGUGCUUAACACAUGCAAGUCGAACGAUGAACUCCAGCUUGCUGGGGGGAUUAGUGGCGAACGGGUGAGUAACACGUGAGUAACCUGCCCUUGACUCUGGGAUAAGCGUUGGAAACGACGUCUAAUACCGGAUAUGAGCUGUGACGGCAUCGUCUGCAGUUGGAAAGAUUUUUUGGUCAAGGAUGGACUCGCGGCCUAUCAGGUAGUUGGUGAGGUAAUGGCUCACCAAGCCGACGACGGGUAGCCG